This is a long non-coding RNA of Oncorhynchus keta (chum salmon), 970 nucleotides long. RefSeq lists it as uncharacterized. The transcript has 3 exons. Lineage: Eukaryota; Metazoa; Chordata; Actinopteri; Salmoniformes; Salmonidae. The record is from RefSeq and is a predicted model, not a curated record.
ACAUCAUGUUUCCUCUGGGAAGUAUGCGUGUCUCCUCCUGUUGAUUUUAACACAGGCGUUGAGUUCAGCAGAGUCAGGAGUGUCCAACCCAAGACGGGGAAAGAGAGACGGUCAGUUGAGUUGGUCAGGUAAUAUCGGUAACAGGGAGAGUACUGGCGAGGUUUCACCGAGAGGACAGCACGCUUCUUUUCUCCCCGAAGAGAGACACCGUGACGAAUAUUCUACGUUCCACGGCGGGGUAAUCGAUCCAAUCGAGAAGGACCGUCUGAACCGAGGUUUUGUGGGAUUUGGUUCAUUUUCUCAGCCAGAACAGUUGAACAGAAAUCGCAGGGACAGAGAACAGACACGCUUCGGCCAAUUCAACUCGGACACGCACGGCUGCAGCGGUAUCCAGGCAAGAAGCUGCAGUGCUCAUGGUCACUGUGCAGGAUGCCUGGGACUCUACACCUGUGACGUGGACCUUGGGAAAUGUCAUCUCAAGGGGAUCUCACAGAGGACAGAAAGCAAGUUCUUCCAGACGCUGAGUGAUAGCAGACGGAGUUGACACCUAAACCAACACAACCCGAUGAUGAACCUUGACCUUUUCUACUGAUUCUGUUGUUGUUGUUGUUGUUGUUGUUGUUGUUGUUGUUGUUGUUGUUGUAUAUUUUACUGAUGUGCAGGAAAUGCAACUUCUAAUUUGAAUUUUCAAAUAAAAUGAAAUUAUUUUCACGGUCAAUGAUUUACUGGUACUAGAGUGAACUCAAAUGUACUCAAAUGUUGAUGUUAAUAUGAAUUGUUAAUAUAAUGUGUGAUGCUAUUUUGUAAUAAAUCUCCUCAGGGGUCAGUUCCUCUUCGGAUAUUACUUUGUUAUGGGCUUAGUGGUCGGAAUAUUUGAUAAACAUCUCUGGAUACCUGAAUAUAUUAUCUUGUUUUGGGCAAAAAAUAAUUGGAAUUUUCCCAGAAGAUCAAUAAAUAUUCACAUUUUAUC